RNAcentral lists this ribosomal RNA (813 nucleotides) under Salmonella enterica subsp. enterica serovar Altona. RNAcentral's name for it is "partial 23S ribosomal RNA". It matches the Rfam family "Bacterial large subunit ribosomal RNA", at positions 2118 to 2925 of the family's 2925-position model. Lineage: Bacteria; Pseudomonadati; Pseudomonadota; Gammaproteobacteria; Enterobacterales; Enterobacteriaceae. The record is from RNAcentral.
UGAACAUUGAGCCUUGAUGUGUAGGAUAGGUGGGAGGCUUUGAAGUGUGGACGCCAGUCUGCAUGGAGCCGACCUUGAAAUACCACCCUUUAAUGUUUGAUGUUCUAACGUGGACCCGUUACCCGGGUUGCGGACAGUGUCUGGUGGGUAGUUUGACUGGGGCGGUCUCCUCCUAAAGAGUAACGGAGGAGCACGAAGGUUGGCUAAUCCUGGUCGGACAUCAGGAGGUUAGUGCAAUGGCAUAAGCCAGCUUGACUGCGAGCGUGACGGCGCGAGCAGGUGCGAAAGCAGGUCAUAGUGAUCCGGUGGUUCUGAAUGGAAGGGCCAUCGCUCAACGGAUAAAAGGUACUCCGGGGAUAACAGGCUGAUACCGCCCAAGAGUUCAUAUCGACGGCGGUGUUUGGCACCUCGAUGUCGGCUCAUCACAUCCUGGGGCUGAAGUAGGUCCCAAGGGUAUGGCUGUUCGCCAUUUAAAGUGGUACGCGAGCUGGGUUUAGAACGUCGUGAGACAGUUCGGUCCCUAUCUGCCGUGGGCGCUGGAGAACUGAGGGGGGCUGCUCCUAGUACGAGAGGACCGGAGUGGACGCAUCACUGGUGUUCGGGUUGUCAUGCCAAUGGCACUGCCCGGUAGCUAAAUGCGGAAGAGAUAAGUGCUGAAAGCAUCUAAGCACGAAACUUGCCCCGAGAUGAGUUCUCCCUGAGACUUUAGGUCUCCUGAAGGAACGUUGAAGACGACGACGUUGAUAGGCUGGGUGUGUAAGCGCAGCGAUGCGUUGAGCUAACCGGUACUAAUGAACCGUGAGGCUUAACCUU